UGGUGUUCUCAGGGCGGGGUGCAAUUCCCCACCGGCGGUGACAGCCCGCGAGCGCCCCUUGCCACGGCAGGGGGGUCAGCAGAUCCGGUGAAAUUCCGGGGCCGACGGUAUAGUCCGGAUGGAAGAGAACCGCC
This 134-nucleotide non-coding RNA is filed under the name Paracoccus sp. (in: a-proteobacteria). RNAcentral describes it as "Paracoccus sp. FMN sequence". It matches the Rfam family "FMN riboswitch aptamer (RFN element)". Rfam says of the family: The RFN element is a highly conserved domain that is found frequently in the 5'-untranslated regions of prokaryotic mRNAs that encode for flavin mononucleotide (FMN) biosynthesis and transport proteins. This element is a metabolite-dependent riboswitch that directly binds FMN in the absence of proteins. In Bacillus subtilis, the riboswitch most likely controls gene expression by causing premature transcription termination within the 5' untranslated region of the ribDEAHT operon and precluding access to the ribosome-binding site of ypaA mRNA. The record is from RNAcentral. RNAcentral also lists the same sequence under 1 other name. Lineage: Bacteria; Pseudomonadati; Pseudomonadota; Alphaproteobacteria; Rhodobacterales; Paracoccaceae.